AACUCGAGAGCAGAGAGCACCUGCCAAGGUACAGCAAUCGCCACUGCACUAGUUCUGCCGUCUUGCGUUUCUCUGUGCGAUCUCGACCGCGGCGUCGACCAUGAGCUACCCGCCACCGGGCACCGCGUACCCGCCGCCGGGGCAGGAGGCCUACCCGCCUCCAGUCUACGGCGCUCCGCCGCCUGUCGCCGCCAGCUACCAGCAGCAGCAGGCCCCGCCGCCGGAACCGGAGGACAGCGGCGACGGCUUCUGGAAAGGAUGUUGUGCUGCGAUUUGCUGCUGCUGUCUGCUCGACACGUGCUGCUGAUCACAAGAGUUCGUACCGCCAACACCAGGAUAUCCUACGAUGAUCGAUCUACAUCUACUAGGAGCUGCUCAUAUACAGUUUGUUUCUAUCGUACGUAGUAUUUGUGCUGUUCGGAUCGAGAUUUGUAUGACGGUGUUCGGUGUAGAUCACUGCAUCGAAUUGUACUAUUACCUCCGUUCGGAAAUAAGUGGCGCUGUUUUAGUUUAUAAAUUGUACUCCUAUUACUAGUUAAUUUUGCAUCUUGGUUUUGGCCUC
Long non-coding RNA from Triticum urartu, 562 nucleotides. RefSeq lists it as uncharacterized. The record is from RefSeq and is a predicted model, not a curated record. NCBI's taxonomy places the organism in Eukaryota, Viridiplantae, Streptophyta, Magnoliopsida, Poales, Poaceae.